CUCUUUGGUGACAUAUAUAGCCA
RNAcentral lists this non-coding RNA (23 nucleotides) under Arabidopsis thaliana (thale cress). The record is from RNAcentral. Lineage: Eukaryota; Viridiplantae; Streptophyta; Magnoliopsida; Brassicales; Brassicaceae.